Non-coding RNA from Schistocerca nitens (vagrant locust), 79 nucleotides. The record is from the annotation of a RefSeq genome assembly. NCBI's taxonomy places the organism in Eukaryota, Metazoa, Arthropoda, Insecta, Orthoptera, Acrididae.
GCCAGGGUGGCCGAGCGGUUCUAGGCACUACGGUCUGGAACCACGCGACCGGUCGCAGGUUCGAAUCCUGCCUCUGGCA